UCUUUCUUUCUUUCUUUCUUUCUUUCUUUCUUUCUUUCUUUCUUCCUUCCCCUUUUUCUUUCACUCUUUCUUCCCCUCUUUCUCUUUCUUCUUUCUCUCUCUCUUCCUUCCUUCCUUCCUUCCUUCCUUCCCCUCUUCCCCUCUUUCUUCCCCUCUUUCUCCCCCUCUUUCUCUCACUCUUUAGGCAGUCCCCAAAAGUAGACUGCAGAUAGCUAUUCUGAUGGCAUUGUGUAAAUUCAGUGGUGCAAAUCUCCAAAACUUAUUGAGUUUCAUUGAUUGAAGGAAAUUGAUAUGGCCACCCAACUCAAUCAAGGUGUCUCCAGGUAGUGGUAUGUAUCUCAAUAGUAGUAACCAUGAGAAGGAUCUCACAGUCCUAGUGGGCAAUCAUAUAACUAUGAGCCAGCCGUGUGCUGCAGCUGCCAAUAAGGCCAAUACAAUUCUAGGAUGCAUUAACAGAGUGAUAGAAUCAAGAUCACGUGAAGUGUUAAUACCACUUUAUAAUGCCUUGGUAAGGCCACACUUGGAAUACUGCAUCCAGCUUUGAUCGCCAUGUCACUGCGUUUUUUUAUUUACCAGCUGAGCUCUCAUUUCUGGACUAUCAGACUUUCUGUAGCUUGCCAAGAAUCCUUAUCAGUAAGAUAAACUGCGCAUGUCCUCCACCCACAUUCCUUCUCACACUUUUUCUUUCUUCUCUUGCCAAGAGACAUCCGGCUGCUGAGAAGUAGCCGAUAAGAACUUUUGCAAAAAUGUAACAAUUAAAUUUUAGAUAGUUAGAUGUUUUAUUUUCUUUAUAACAAAUAAAUGAGUUUUCUUAGAAGAUAUAUCUUCCGGUUUGUUUUCUUAAAGUAUGCUGGCAAGGAAAGGUCUCGAUCCGCCCCUCUUAAUCAAGGUGUGAUUAUCCCAAAGGCAGAAUGGGAUUAAUCAGCACCCUGACACGCCAUGAUGUAAAAAAGAUGUUGAGAUUCUAGAAAGAGGGCAGAGAAGAGCAACAAAGAUGAUUAGGGGACUGGAGACUAAAACAGAUGAAGAACGGUUGCAGGAACUGGGUAUGUCUAGUUUAAUGAAAAGAAGGACUAGGGGAGACAUAAUAGCAAUGUUCCAAUAUCUCAGGCGCAGACACAAAGAAGAGGGAGUCAACAUAUUUUCCAAAGCACCUAAAGGCAGGACAAGAAGCCAUGGAUGGAAACUAAUCAAGGAGAGAAAUAACAUAGAACUAAAGAGAAAUUCCCUGAGAGUUAGAACAAUUAUUCCGUGGAACAACUUGCCUCCAGAAAUUGUAAAUGAUCCAACAGUGGACGUUUUUAAGAAGGGAUUGGACAACAUUUGUCUGAAAUGGUAUAGGGUUUCCUGCCUAAGCAGGGGGUUGGACUAGAAAACCUCCAACUUGGACUAGGACAGGGGUCCCCAAUCUUUUGGAUCUCAGGGAUCAUCAAGUUCAUAAUUUUAAAUCUCGUGGACCACUAUUACAAAUCCAGUGCGCUGCUUGCUGAAGCGUCUGGACACCCAGUGAUGGGUUGGGGUCCUUCAGGCACUCUCCCUCCUCUCUCUUUCUCUUUCUCUCUCUCUCCCCCUUCUCUUUCCCUCUCUCUCCCCUCUUUCUCUCUCUCUCCCACUCUUUCUCUCUCAUUCUCUCUUUCCCUCUCUCUCUCCCCUCUCUCAUUCUCUCUCAUCUCUUUCUCUCUCCCUCCUCUUUCUCUCUCUCCCCCACUCUCUCAUUUUGAUUCUCUCAUUCUGAUUCUCUCUCUCUCUGAUUCUCUUUCAUUCUCUGUCUCUUUCUCUUUCUCAUUCUGAUUGUCUCUCAUUCUCUCUCUGAUUCUUUAUCUCUUUCUUUCUCUCUCUCAUUCUCUCUCACUUUCAUUCUGUUUGUCUCUCUGAUUCUCUCUGAUUCUCUCUUUUAUUCUCUUUCUCUCUCUCUCAUUCUCUCUCAUUCUGAUUCUCUCUCAUUCUCUCUCUGUCUGAUUCUCUCUCUUUCAUUCUCUGUCUCUUUCUCUCUCAAUUUCUCUCCUUCUGAUUUUCUCUCCUUCUGAUUCUCUCUUUCAUUCUCUCCCUUUCUCUUUCUCUUUCAUCCUCUGUCUCUUUCUCUCUCUGUGUUAUUCUGUCUCUCUCUCUCUGAUUUUGUCUCUGAUUCUUUCUCUCAUCUUUCUUUAUCUCCCCGUCUCUUUCUCUCUCUCAUCUCUCUCUCCCCCUUUUUCUUUCUUUCUCUCUCUCUGCCACUCUUUCUCAUUCUCUCUCUCUCUUUCAUUCUCUCUCUGAUUCUCUUGCUCUCUCUCAUUCUCUUUCUCUCUCUCAUCUCAUGGGUCAGCCAGUGUCUUGGGGCUGAGGGGAAGUCAAGCAUCUCCCUGAGAGACUGAGGUGCACGGAGCACCAAUGAGGGCUGGAAGAAACGUGGGCAAGAUCCAGCAAGAGAUGGAGCUUCAGUCCAACUCUGGAAUAUGGAACGAGUCUCCAUCCCCCAUCUUUCCCUUCUCAGGCCAGGUGAGGAGUGACUGGGAAGGGAGUGCGAGGGGCAGGGACAGCCACUGGUGGGUUCAGCUGACAGGAAGUUACAGCAGAGGGAAGAAACAGCCCGGGGUUGCCACCACCCGUUACUUCGGCCCACCUGCACUGCCACGCCCCCUUGCACCAUUACCUCAUUCCAGCCAGCGAGGGCUGUGCUGCAAGUUGCACCAACCUCCUCUAUGGUGGAGAUUUACAAACCCACCAUGAGCUGCCUGGCCAGUCCCAUAUUCCAGAGCUCUAGUCACAGGACUGGUCAUUGCUCAUCCCGGAGUAGCUCCUCCACCCGGGUGCACCGCAGACCGCCAAAAUUUUCUCACGGACCACCGGUUGGGAACCACUGGACUAGAAGACCUCCAAGCUCCAUUUCAACUCUUUUUGCUCUACUCUACUCUACUCUACUCUACUCUACUCUACUCUACUCUACUCUAGUUCUGAUUUAGACAAAUAAAAACUCAAAAUAAUCCCGAAUAAACUUCCAUGCCUACAACAAAAAAAAAUCAGUUGGUGGGCUCCAAAUCAUGCUGGAGUUUAUAUUCAACUCUGAGCUAUACAUAUUCUUGCUAUUGCAAACACUAAAACUGCAUUUAUUUAUUUCUUAGCAGGUCUAGUGCUCCUUCCAAAGGAACCUCAAUAAAAUGUGAGAAGCACUCUGGUUGAAAGCUAUAGAGGUAGACGUUAUACAGCAGGGUUGUCCUGCUGUCCAGAGCCAGCCCACAGGGUGUUUAGAUUUGGCCCGCAGGGCCGCUCUGGUGUUGUGGUCCGCCAGCAGCCUGCGGAGUUAUAGAGGUAGACAUGAUACAGCAUCUGCUCUCUCCUGUUGCACCAGUCAAAAGGUCCUUCAAGUUCAUAGCUAAAAGGAGAAUGCAUACCAAAGCCUAAACUGGCCCCAAAGACCUGGACAUCUACGACCAUAUCAUCAACCCUCUUAGCAAUGGAAGACUAAAAUGUCCCAGGAAGAAGCCCGAAAACACUGCUUAUUUUAAAGCUGACUUUAAAAUGUAUCUGCUAUGGGUUUGGGAUGAGAUGACAAUGGCAUGAGGACAUCACAUAAACUGUUUUUCAGGGCACCUGGGAUGAACCUUACAAUCAAAUGACUCAAUAGGAAAUGUUGGGGAUUACAGGCCAAUUUGGAUGAAUGUGGGUUUUUUCACCUAACCCUCCUUCUCCCCACAAGAGGGCAAUAGACUACAACCAGAUUCUAGUAAAGAUCUGUUAACUGGGAAAACUUGUAAAAAUUUUAUGGGGCUCUUUUACCCUCCUCUUGACUCCACUGGUUCUUUGAACUUCCCCCUGAUAGGACAGAUCAUAAAUCUCAAGAAAUGCUUGAGUGAAAACUCCCAUUACUUGAAGUAGAAAUAACAAUCCUAAUAUCUGGUGUCAAAAGGAUGGAGAGCAAUAUCUUCAGGGAGAGAUAUAUCUUCUUGGCAUGCUGGGAAGCAAAGUAAGAAGACAUGAGUCUUGCCAGUUUGAGUAUGAGUUUGAGUUUAUUUAGAUUUAUAUACUGCCCUACUCCCGAAGGACUCAGGGUGGUGAACAGCCAUAGAUAAAACAGAUACACUAUAAAAUUUAAAAAACAAUUUAAAAAAGUUUCCCUUUCCCACAGUCCUAUCAAAUGAGUAACGUAGGCUAAUAAUGUCCUGAAGGUGAGCUUGACCUCUGGUGCUGAAGGGGAAACAGGCUCCAGUUUUCUUGGCAAAGUUAGGAACAUGAUUUGCUUCAUUUUCAGGAUAUUUGUUCUACCUCCUAGUGCAACCUAGAACUCAGAGAUCUCCUUGUGUUUUCCCACCGAGGUAGCAACCCAGCCUAAUGCUGAGUAAUUUCCCACUCCCAGCAAGGAUGGAAAAAUGCAUUUUGGGGUAUUCAAGUGCUGUCCUACAAGUGAUGGCUGGAAGGGAAAAAGGAGGAAUGAAGAUCAUGUCCUUUGACCUCUCUUUCCAUGUUUAGCGUUUUGGAGUAGACCCGUGUCUGGUGGGAAUCAGAUUGAUGCAAAGAUGUAUCAUAGCAUUGGAAAGUUAGAUGCAGGAUGUGAAAUCUCCUGUGAGUUUGCCCUCUUGUACACUUCUGCCUUCUUAUAUGGCCUGACGGAGGUGCAGCCUUUCCUCCAGAUCCCUGAAUAGCAGCUUCCAACCCUUGUGACCAAUAGUCCCAUUGUCAUUCCCAAUAACCCUGGAACACAACUACAAUGAUUUGGCAGAUGGGCCUUGUAAUCACUCACAUAUAGAUACUCUCUAUUUGGAACAAGCUGUGUGGUUAGAAUUCCAUAAAGAAACCCAGAAUCCUUGCUUAAAUUCCAAGUACAAAGAGAAAUCAGAAGACCCAAAGGAUCCUUUCUUUAGAAGAUGCUUUCCUCGAUAAAGGUCAGUGAGGCUGAAAGGAAACCCACCGGAAGGAUCCCAGUUGGAUGCAACACUGACCAUUUACCCCGUUUCUUAUUUAAUAAUGAUCACUCUUCACACAUAUGGUUGAGCUAUUGACAUAUAUUCCCUACCAUGAAUUAUUUUAGCUAGAAUACAACAGAGCCUCCUUCUUUCUCCAAGAGUAUGAGUUAAGAGUAUGAGUUAAGACAAAAGCUUCUAUAUUCUGGGUUUGUGGUGUGUUCUUCUACGUGAGUCAAAGAAAAGAUGAGCAGAUAUCCAAUCCCCAGAAGGUCUGAGCAGGAAGCCACACAGAAGACUGUGUCUGGUUUCUCACUUUCCUGUGUUUCUGGGGACAUAUUUGUCCUCCCUUUCGAAGAUAAAAGAAGAAGAAUGGGAGAUCUGAGGAGCAGGAUUGUUGCCUUGCUGUUGGCCAUCUCCACAGGUGUCCAAUGCCAGGACCGAGUGGAUCCGAAGCCUGUGGAAGUCGUCAAAGAAGGAGAGGAUUCCACCAUCGCCUGUCACUUGGAUGCCAACACUCUCAAUAUAAUGCACUGGUACAAGCAAUAUCCAGGAGAAGGCCCUGCGUUUCUCCUAUCAGUUACAGCAACGGAAUUGGAGAAACGCGGACACUUCAGUGCCUCUUUUGAGAAGCGGAAGGAAAGUCGGUUGAACAUCACAAGAGUGCAGAUGAAAGAUGCCGCGGUCUAUUUCUGCGGGGCCCGAGAUCCACAGCAACACUAAGACACCUGCUGCCUGUACAAAAACCCUCUAAGGCUGAGCAGUUCUGCAAAGGGGAAAUGAAUCUCAUCUGGGUAACUGGGAUGCAGAGAUGGACUAGCUGCAUGUGGGUACAACCUGCAUUAGUAUCAACUGGAAAGUGAAUCAAAGUAUUUUAGAGUAUUGCAAGAAAGAAGAAAUAUACCAGUUGGAUAAGCCCACCAUUGGCAAAAACCCUCUAAGGUCAAGCAGUUCUCUGCUCUCUUUCUUUCUUUCUUUCUUUCUUUCUUUCUUUCUUUCUUU
Molecule: non-coding RNA, 5876 nt
Organism: Pantherophis guttatus
Lineage: Eukaryota; Metazoa; Chordata; Lepidosauria; Squamata; Colubridae
Source: the annotation of a RefSeq genome assembly